This 388-nucleotide ribosomal RNA is filed under the name uncultured bacterium. RNAcentral describes it as "bacterial SSU rRNA". It matches the Rfam family "Bacterial small subunit ribosomal RNA", at positions 28 to 417 of the family's 1533-position model. The record is from RNAcentral.
GACGAACGCUGGCGGCGUGCUUAACACAUGCAAGUCGAGCGGUAAGGCCCUUUCGGGGGUACACGAGCGGCGAACGGGUGAGUAACACGUGGGUGACCUGCCCUCAGCUCUGGGAUAAGCCUGGGAAACUGGGUCUAAUACUGGAUAUGACUCCACGGUGCAUGUUGUGGAGUGGAAAGCCUUGUGCGGCUGAGGAUGGGCCCGCGGCCUAUCAGCUUGUUGGUGGGGUGAUGGCCUACCAAGGCGACGACGGGUAGCCGGCCUGAGAGGGCGACCGGCCACACUGGGACUGAGAUACGGCCCAGACUCCUACGGGAGGCAGCAGUGGGGAAUCUUGCGCAAUGGGCGAAAGCCUGACGCAGCGACGCCGCGUGAGGGAUGACGGCCU